UUUCAUUCAUUUUAUAUGUUGCAUCUUCCAUUUCUUGAGUUAAAGUGGUUAACCGUUCUUUUAAAACUAAAUUGUCCCUUUCAAAAGUCUAUGGAAUUACAAAGAUUUAAACAGAACAUUUUAACAAUAUUUUGUUCCUUCUGAAACUCACCUCUAAUUCUGUCAUAAGAAUUUUAAUCUUUUUAUUUUUGCCUUGCAAAGCAUCGUCAUAAUCAGUGCUUUCAGAUAUAUCUACGUGCUUAAAACAAAAUAACAUGGAUAGUUUCAUAAGAGGUUUUUAUAUCUUUGCUAUGUUACUAAUGAAAUAUCUUACUUUAGAUACAUUGGUGGUUUCAUGUUUUGAAUCGGAAGUACCCCAUUCUAUCAUCUUUCUUUUUACGCUUAGCAGGUUCAGGUUUUAAGGAAGAAAUGGUUUGUUUUAAUUC
RNAcentral lists this unclassified non-coding RNA (425 nucleotides) under Bombus terrestris (buff-tailed bumblebee). Its description in RNAcentral is "misc RNA ENSBTSG00005025427.1". The record is from RNAcentral. Lineage: Eukaryota; Metazoa; Arthropoda; Insecta; Hymenoptera; Apidae.